AGGGUUCGAUUCCGGAGAGGGAGCCUGAGAAACGGCUACCACAUCUACGGAUGGCAGCAGGCGCGAAAAUUGCCCAAUCCCGAUUCGGGGAGGCAGUGACAAGAAAUAACAACCCAGAACUUUGUUCCGGGAUUGCAAUGAGAACAA
This 147-nucleotide ribosomal RNA is filed under the name uncultured eukaryote. RNAcentral describes it as "partial 18S ribosomal RNA". It matches the Rfam family "Eukaryotic small subunit ribosomal RNA", at positions 372 to 523 of the family's 1831-position model. The record is from RNAcentral.